GACGAACGCUGGCGGCGUGCCUAAUACAUGCAAGUCGAGCGAAGUUUUUCUGGUGCUUGCACUAGAAAAACUUAGCGGCGAACGGGUGAGUAACACGUAAAGAACCUGCCUCAUAGACUGGGACAACUAUUGGAAACGAUAGCUAAUACCGGAUAACAGUAUUUCUCGCAUGAGAGAUAUUUAAAAGUUGGUUAUGCUAACACUAUGAGAUGGCUUUGCGGUGCAUUAGCUAGUUGGUGGGGUAAAGGCCUACCAAGGCGACGAUGCAUAGCCGACCUGAGAGGGUGAUCGGCCACACUGGGACUGAGACACGGCCCAGACUCCUACGGGAGGCAGCAGUAGGGAAUCUUCCGCAAUGGGCGAAAGCCUGACGGAACAACGCCGCGUGAGUGAAGAAGGAUUUCGGUUCGUAAAGCUCUGUUGUUAGGGAAGAAUGGAUAUGUAGUAACUAUACAUGUAAGAGACGGUACCUAACCAGAAAGCCACGGCUAACUAUGUGCCAGCAGCCGCGGUAAUACGUAGGUGGCAAGCGUUGUCCGGAAUUAUUGGGCGUAAAGCGCGCGCAGGUGGUUUAAUAAGUCUGAUGUGAAAGCCCACGGCUCAACCGUGGAGGGUCAUUGGAAACUGUUAAACUUGAGUGCAGGAGAGAAAAGUGGAAUUCCUAGUGUAGCGGUGAAAUGCGUAGAGAUUAGGAGGAACACCAGUGGCGAAGGCGGCUUUUUGGCCUGUAACUGACACUGAGGCGCGAAAGCGUGGGGAGCAAACAGG
Molecule: ribosomal RNA, 768 nt
Filed under: uncultured bacterium
Lineage: Bacteria
Description: bacterial SSU rRNA
Rfam family: Bacterial small subunit ribosomal RNA
Source: RNAcentral